Molecule: small RNA, 271 nt
Filed under: Myotis lucifugus (little brown bat)
Lineage: Eukaryota; Metazoa; Chordata; Mammalia; Chiroptera; Vespertilionidae
Description: 7SK RNA (ENSMLUG00000021230.1)
Rfam family: 7SK RNA
About the family: 7SK was discovered as an abundant small nuclear RNA in the mid-70s but a possible function has only recently been suggested.
Source: RNAcentral
GGAAGUUUAGCUACUGUGACAUCCACUAUGCUCUUGGUUGCCAAGGGUGGGUUGGCUGAUCUGGCAGGCUCAAGGGUGUCCUCUUCCCCCCUCACUCACCCAUGGACCCCUUCUUGAAAUCAAGCCAGAGGCCGACCUACUCAGCUCCUGGUAAAUGGUAUGGGAAUAACCGUGCUGCUCUGGCUGUAAAGCUAAAGAAUUUCCCAGAAUUCUUGUCUGCCUUUCCAGGAGUUGUACAGGGAGACACAGAUAGAUUGGGCUUCUCAUUUCU